GUGUAUAUUACAUAGGAAAAGAGAUAGGAAAAUAAAUCAAUCUCCUUUUUGCCAUUACAAACAAAGCUAAUGAAAUCUAUGGAUCCUGCUUCCAGAACAAUUAAAAAACAUCCAAACAUUCCAUGUCAUUGCCGAGGUUCAAAGGCCCCUUAGAGACCCUCUCCGGGGAAGAACUUAGACCCGCUGCUACAGUCAAUUCGCUUGCUCACCAUCCCCAGGGGUGGGCGGCAUCUUUACUCCACCAGCGCAGUGAUGUGCCUUGGGGAGCAGUGGAGAAAGGAAGGUUCCAGUGCUGUCAGAACCAAGCCAGCACCCCGGUGAUUAGAUGUGAAGCGGUAAUAUAAUUGUCGUAGGAAACACACAACAAGGAAAGUUGAGCCAAAGAGAACUCUCCACGUCUGCCCGACCCCCCAAAGACAGCCCGGCACCUCUCCCUCCCUUCCUGGAGCAUAUCCGGCCCUAGACCCCAGCACCCCCACAGCCUGCUCCAGGGCGGUGGCGGCUGUGCCAGCCCCCUCACUGUUGGGUCCUCUGCAACUUCCGGAUCUCAGCCCUUUGGAGAAGAAGGAAGUGAGGAAAUACCAGAAGGUAGAGAACUGUUUGCGUUACAAACAGCGAUCUUGCUUUUUAAACCUCAGGAGGAUAAUGAUCUGUUUUUAGUGUAUUAAAGCUUCAUUGUUUAAGUAGGGAAAUAGGCAUCGACUUCAAAACAGGGAAGCCUAGAAGCAGAAUAAGCAUCUUUGAGAAGCGAGGGUAGAACGAGAAGACUUGCCAUGUGGCUUAAGGAAGCCACUUCUUCCUUCUGGGACUCAGUGGCCCAUCGGUUCAAAGGAGGAGUUGGCUUCCAGAAGAUGCAUGACAUCCAGCCCUGACAUCCCAGGGUUUUGAGACUGGCUGCAUCCACUCCCUUCUGGAACUGCAAGAGACGAAAGCAGUCGUCCUCAUAACAGCCCUGUGCCUGGCACAGGGUAGACACCCAACUAAUAAGGUUGUUGCCCUGCACUCUUCUUGCUUCCUGGUCCUGUACACACACGAGCCCUUAGCUGGCCCUCGAUACUGCUUUUCUCAGCUACAAUAUGGGCCUGGUCCUAGCAGUGCUAGUACUUCUCGUUGACUGAGCCAUGAGGAUGAAUGAUCCCGAGCCUGAAUGGGGAGCGGUUGCUGUGUGGCCUGGGAGCAGCAAACAGAAGCCCUGAAGGUUCAGGGAGAGAAGGGUCGAGAAGAAACACAGAGCAACUCAGAGCUUCUAGAUCAGGGAAUGAGAAGGAGGAUUCCCCUGUCUCAAGGCAAUUGUGAAGAUCCAACGUGAGGAUGUAUGUGCAAGUCAAGGUCAAGAGCAUGAAAGCAAGCUGGUCCGUGAGGGAGCUGGGAUCCUCACUCCAGGGCCAGGGUCUCCCAGCGCUUCACCUGACAGGUCUCCUCCUGCUACCAUCACUGCACCGCCAGCCCCGUCUUUCAUGCAAACCACACUACAGGAGACAGAAGGCAGAGUCCCGGGCCCUGAGGGUCUAGGAGUGUAUGGGCUCUGAGAUAAACGCCGGAGGCAGCAGCUCCCUGGACGUGAGCGUGAGAAAGGGCACACACUAGCAACCGAAUCACCUGGCCCGGUGCAGUUCGAGAUCAUCGGUACCUUCCUCUGUCCUCAGACAGGGAGCUCCGGGGACCAUCUGGGGCCCGGGAGCUGGUUGGCAAUUUUUACAAGCCACAGAAUGAGAAAGGGUGCUGCCUUGUCACUGCAUUCCAAGAAACAAUCUGGUCUCUGCAACAAUCACUUUUUCGUGACUGUCUCCAAUUCCACUGGUGGAUACACCAUAAUUGAAUGCGCCGCAACAAGGAGAAAUGCUGAGGGUCAGACAGUGAGGGAACAGUGCAGAGAGCCAAAUGGUGCAUUCAUUCUAGCCCCGCCCAUUUAAUGGUCUACCCACCCGCGGAAGGGUCUCGUCCACAUAAAAGCUGCUGUAUGGGCAGUACUUUCCCCCGGUGUU
This is a long non-coding RNA of Ailuropoda melanoleuca (giant panda), 1985 nucleotides long. RefSeq lists it as uncharacterized. The record is from RefSeq and is a predicted model, not a curated record. NCBI's taxonomy places the organism in Eukaryota, Metazoa, Chordata, Mammalia, Carnivora, Ursidae. The transcript has 4 exons.